This 269-nucleotide long non-coding RNA is filed under the name Actinidia chinensis (golden kiwifruit). RNAcentral describes it as "long non-coding RNA (ACHI_LNC007801)". The record is from RNAcentral. Lineage: Eukaryota; Viridiplantae; Streptophyta; Magnoliopsida; Ericales; Actinidiaceae.
AGUUGUCCAGGUGGAGGCUUUUUGUGGAGGCACCUGGCAGGCAAUGAAUGUGGGAAGGAGUGGGGUUGCUUCUAACCCACUCUAGGGCCCAUACUUAGAUAUAUGACUAAAAACAAUAGAUUCAUCAAGGUAAUAGAUAGAUAAUGGAAUCAGCCAACACAAGUAUUAGAGGCAGGGUAUUUUGAAAAACAAAGGGGGCUGUGGUUUUCAGUAUUAUGUCUUUCUGUUUGGAGAUACUUGGUGGGUGGGUCCUUGGUACAAGAAUUUCC